RNAcentral lists this long non-coding RNA (375 nucleotides) under Felis catus (domestic cat). Its description in RNAcentral is "lncRNA (ENSFCAG00000049704.1)". The record is from RNAcentral. Lineage: Eukaryota; Metazoa; Chordata; Mammalia; Carnivora; Felidae.
AAAAGAUCCUGUUUCAUGAGAGAAAAGAGCAUUAAGCUUUAUUAACAAAUUUCUUAUUAUCGUGGACAAACAACAACCCAUUGGAUUUUUUUCUCUUCUCUAGGUUCUGACUUAAUGAAACCCACCAGUUUUUACACUCUAACUUUCCUAUUUCAAGUGUUGCCUGGAAAGGAAGUCUUAGUCAUCAGUGACACUUUUCAAAUUAUCAUCUAGGCACAACUGUAAUUUACUGACCAGGUCACAUGAGGAGUAAGUUAUCCAAACUAAACUACUGAAAUGGUGAGGAUCUCUUACUUCAUCUUCUUCUAAGUUAAUAGGAUUCAUGUAGACAGAUGAACUAAAAACAGCACCAUCGGUAUCCUUUGUUCGGAUGUG